RNAcentral lists this ribosomal RNA (207 nucleotides) under uncultured bacterium. RNAcentral describes it as "partial 16S ribosomal RNA". It matches the Rfam family "Bacterial small subunit ribosomal RNA", at positions 568 to 774 of the family's 1533-position model. The record is from RNAcentral.
CAUGUAGGCGGUCUUGUAAGCUUGGCGUGAAAGACCACGGCUCAACCGUGGGAUUGCGUUGAGAACUGCGAGGCUUGAGUGACGGAAAGGGAGCUAGAAUUCCUGGUGUAGGGGUGGAAUCUGUAGAGAUCAGGAAGAAUACCAAUGGCGAAGGCAAGCUCCUGGCCGAUGACUGACGCUGAGGUGCGAAAGUGUGGGGAUCAAACA